Molecule: ribosomal RNA, 166 nt
Filed under: Brachypterum eriocarpum
Lineage: Eukaryota; Viridiplantae; Streptophyta; Magnoliopsida; Fabales; Fabaceae
Description: Solori eriocarpa 5.8S ribosomal RNA
Rfam family: 5.8S ribosomal RNA
About the family: 5.8S ribosomal RNA (5.8S rRNA) is a component of the large subunit of the eukaryotic ribosome. It is transcribed by RNA polymerase I as part of the 45S precursor that also contains 18S and 28S rRNA.
Source: RNAcentral
CACAAAAUGACUCUCGGCAACGGAUAUCUCGGCUCUUGCAUCGAUGAAGAACGCAGCGAAAUGCGAUACUUGGUGUGAAUUGCAGAAUCCCGUGAACCAUCGAGUCUUUGAACGCAAGUUGCGCCCGAAGCCGUCAGGCUGAGGGCACGCCUGCCUGGGUGUCACA